CGUCUAUAUACGUAUAGCAUAUCAAUAAGCGGAGGAAAAGAAACUAACUAGGAUUCCCUCAGUAACGGCGAGUGAAGCGGGAAGAGCUCAAAUUUGAAAUCUUCAAGGUUCUACCUUGACGAAUUGUAGUUUAAAGAAGUGUUUUCUGUUGGAGUUUUGGUAAAAGUUCUUUGGAAAUAGGACAUCAUAGAGGGUGAGAAUCCCGUAUUUGACCAUUAUUUCCAACUUUGUGAUACACUUUCAAAGAGUCGGAUUGUUUGGGAGUGCAGUCCAAAAUGGGUGGUAAAUUUCAUCUAAAGCUAAAUACUGGCGAGAGACCGAUAGCGAACAAGUACCGUGAGGGAAAGAUGAAAAGAACUUUGAAAAGAGAGUUAAACAGUACGUGAAAUUGUCAAAAGGGAAGCGUUUGACACCAGUGUUGUUUUCUCGAAAAUCAAUUAAAAAUGGCAGUGAUUUUGUGUUGUAUUGACCUUAUAAGCUUUCUGCACUUUUUUCAUGUCUUUUUUAAUGCACUUUUCGUUUAACAAGUCAACAUCAAUUUCUUUUGUUGUAAAAAGGGUCAUUGGAAGGUGGCUUUCUUUUCGGAGAAAGUGUUUAUAGCCUUUGACUUCUGCAGUCGGAGAGAUUGAGGUCUGCAGCGUAGAUCCUUCGGGGUUAGAUAGCAUUUGUGCUAAGCUAUAGCCUUUCAUAGACAACUUGUUGACUAUGAUCAGUCAUGUAGCUUACUCGCUUAUGCUAUUUUACCUACGCUUAGGAUGUUGAUCUGUAGUGCGUGCGC
Molecule: ribosomal RNA, 778 nt
Filed under: uncultured Neocallimastigales
Lineage: Eukaryota; Fungi; Neocallimastigomycota; Neocallimastigomycetes; Neocallimastigales
Description: partial large subunit ribosomal RNA
Rfam family: Eukaryotic large subunit ribosomal RNA
Source: RNAcentral